Molecule: ribosomal RNA, 252 nt
Filed under: uncultured bacterium
Lineage: Bacteria
Description: partial 16S ribosomal RNA
Rfam family: Bacterial small subunit ribosomal RNA
Source: RNAcentral
UACGUAGGUCCCGAGCGUUGUCCGGAUUUAUUGGGCGUAAAGCGAGCGCAGGUGGUUUAUUAAGUCUGGUGUAAAAGGCAGUGGCUCAACCAUUGUAUGCAUUGGAAACUGGUAGACUUGAGUGCAGGAGAGGAGAGUGGAAUUCCAUGUGUAGCGGUGAAAUGCGUAGAUAUAUGGAGGAACACCGGUGGCGAAGGCGGCUGUCUGGUCUGCAACUGACGCUGAGGCUCGAAAGCAUGGGUAGCGAACAGG